AGACCCGAAACCCGGUGAUCUAGCCAUGGGCAGGUUGAAGGUUGGGUAACACUAACUGGAGGACCGAACCGACUAAUGUUGAAAAAUUAGCGGAUGACCUGUGGCUGGGGGUGAAAGGCCAAUCAAACCGGGAGAUAGCUGGUUCUCCCCGAAAGCUAUUUAGGUAGCGCCUCGUGAAUUCAUCUCCGGGGGUAGAGCACUGUUUCGGCUAGGGGGCCAUCCCGGCUUACCAACCCGAUGCAAACUGCGAAUACCGGAGAAUGUUAUCACGGGAGACACACGGCGGGUGCUAACGUCCGUCGUGAAGAGGGAAACAACCCAGACCGCCAGCUAAGGUCCCAAAGUCAUGGUUAAGUGGGAAACGAUGUGGGAAGGCCCAGACAGCCAGGAUGUUGGCUUAGAAGCAGCCAUCAUUUAAAGAAAGCGUAAUAGCUCACUGGUCGAGUCGGCCUGCGCGGAAGAUGUAACGGGGCUAAACCAUGCACCGAAGCUGCGGCAGCGAACGUAUCACUUAAAGCGAUUCAGCGGGUUACGAUUGACGGAGCGAAGCGACGUCAAAGCGUAUACAAAGUCGAGUCGGUUUAAGGAUACGUUCGUUGGGUAGGGGAGCGUUCUGUAAGCCUGUGAAGGUGUGUCGUGAGGCAUGCUGGAGGUAUCAGAAGUGCGAAUGCUGACAUAAGUAACGAUAAAG
Molecule: ribosomal RNA, 691 nt
Filed under: Salmonella enterica subsp. enterica serovar Infantis
Lineage: Bacteria; Pseudomonadati; Pseudomonadota; Gammaproteobacteria; Enterobacterales; Enterobacteriaceae
Also listed under: 1 other name
Description: partial 23S ribosomal RNA
Rfam family: Bacterial large subunit ribosomal RNA
Source: RNAcentral